GAAAUAGUAAAAUGGUUUCCGGAUGAUAACUCAAGAACGCAUACGCUUAGGAUCAUGAAACUUCAUGGGUAGAUUGAUCAUGACUCGCAGAUGACCCCUAUUGAUUUUGAGGUCACUAGGUCAAAGGUCAAGGUCACGGUGACCCGAAAUAGUAAAAUGGUUUCCGGAUGAUAACUCAAGAACGCAUACGCCUAGGAUCAUGAAACUUCAUGGGUAGAUUGAUCAUGACUCGCAGAUGACCCCUAUCAAUUUUGAGGUCACUAGGUCAAAGGUCAAGGUCACGGUGACCCGAAAUAGUAAAAUGGUUUCCG
This is a long non-coding RNA of Dreissena polymorpha, 311 nucleotides long. RefSeq lists it as uncharacterized. The record is from RefSeq and is a predicted model, not a curated record. The transcript is spliced from 2 exons. NCBI's taxonomy places the organism in Eukaryota, Metazoa, Mollusca, Bivalvia, Myida, Dreissenidae.